ACUAAGGGCUCACUCCCCUAAGCCUCUGGAAACAGGAUUUGGCUGUCACCACCCUCCCAGGGUGCAUUUUUCUUGGUGCCUGAUGCAGGUUCAGAGUCUGGCACGGGGCCUCUGGCUGGCAGACCCUGCACCUCAGCGGCAAGGGGAGGCUGGGAAGGCCUCACCUGGCUUCUGCAAUUGGAAACGAGGAUUCAUGAGGCGGAGAACUCCCCAAAUGUAAAGCAUGUUUAGCAGCCAAAAAGGAUGGCAGAUGUCCCCUUCUGUUCUUGGUCCUCAGAGCCACCUCCAUCUUCCUCCUUGCAAUGAAUCCCACUCCACUCACACCACGGGUCCCGGCUACACUUCGCCAUCUUCUCUGUCUGCUGGCAAAAAUGACCUCAAGUAUUUCUUCCAUAUGUAGGUUUUCGUCCACGGUUCCAGGCUCAUAACUCCCACAGCCCUGUUUAGAGCCUUUGAUUAUGAUGUUGGCUGUGUUAGGCCUCAGGAGCAGGCCUUGGGGAAACAGAAUCUCUCUGGCCUUUUCCUGUCCUCCUUUCACCCGCCUAAGGCCGUACUCUAAUCUUCCUCCACCUUUCUGAUUGUGGGACCCUAAUUCCAGAGAGGGUCCUGCCCCAUACUCUGGGAGAAGGAAUGCUGUGGUUAUGAAUCUUCUAUAAAAACCCAAGAGGCCUGGUUCAGAGAGCUUCUCCAUAGCUGACCAUGUGAGGCUCCUAGAGUGUGGUGUGCCCACGGAGGGCAUGGAGCCUCCACACCCUUUCCCACUAUUUCUGCCCUACACAUCUCUUCAUCUGUAUCCUUUGCAAUAUCCUUCAUAAUAAACCAGUAAACA
RNAcentral lists this long non-coding RNA (829 nucleotides) under Homo sapiens (human). RNAcentral's name for it is "novel transcript". Lineage: Eukaryota; Metazoa; Chordata; Mammalia; Primates; Hominidae. The record is from RNAcentral.